This 457-nucleotide ribosomal RNA is filed under the name uncultured bacterium. RNAcentral's name for it is "bacterial SSU rRNA". It matches the Rfam family "Bacterial small subunit ribosomal RNA", at positions 28 to 479 of the family's 1533-position model. The record is from RNAcentral.
GACGAACGCUAGCGGCGUGCCUAAGCUAUGCAAGUCGAGCGGGGUUUCAGAGUCGAGUUUCCUUCGGGAGACAAAGCACUGAAACCUAGCGGCGAACGGGUGAGUAACACGUGAGCAACCUACCCUGUUGUCCGGGAUAACAGACCGAAAGGCCUGCUAAUACCGGAUACGAAGCUCCUUCGCAUGUUGGAGCUUGGAAAGGGGCAACCCGCAAUGGGAGGGGCUUACGGCCUAUCAGCUAGUUGGUGAGGUAACGGCCCACCAAGGCGACGACGGGUAGCCGACCUGAGAGGGUGACCGGCCACACUGGGACUGAGACACGGCCCAGACUCCUACGGGAGGCAGCAAGCGGGAAUCUUGCACAAUGGGCGCAAGCCUGAUGCAGCGACGCCGCGUGAGGGAUGAAGGCCUUCGGGUCGUAAACCUCUGUUGAUGGGGACGAAGAUCUGACGGUACC